This 128-nucleotide small nucleolar RNA is filed under the name Callorhinchus milii (elephant shark). RNAcentral's name for it is "Small nucleolar RNA SNORA57 (ENSCMIG00000009229.1)". It matches the Rfam family "Small nucleolar RNA SNORA57". Rfam says of the family: U99 belongs to the H/ACA class of snoRNAs which are thought to guide the sites of modification of uridines to pseudouridines, the target for this family is unknown. Lineage: Eukaryota; Metazoa; Chordata; Chondrichthyes; Chimaeriformes; Callorhinchidae. The record is from RNAcentral.
UGUUGUUGGCCUGGCUACCCUGUCCUUGGGCGCGUGCAUAUAAUAUAGAGGGAAAGUGACCUCAAUGCCAUGUCCUCAGUGGCAGCGCCUGACACCUGCUGCUUCUAUCCUCAUUCACUGAGAUACUA